GACGAACGCUGGCGGCGUGCUUAACACAUGCAAGUCGAACGAAGAGCGAUGGAAGCUUGCUUCUAUCAAUCUUAGUGGCGAACGGGUGAGUAACGCGUAAUCAACCUGCCCUUCAGAGGGGGACAACAGUUGGAAACGACUGCUAAUACCGCAUACGAUCUGACCUCGGCAUCGAGGAUAGAUGAAAGGUGGCCUCUACAUGUAAGCUAUCACUGAAGGAGGGGAUUGCGUCUGAUUAGCUAGUUGGAGGGGUAACGGCCCACCAAGGCGAUGAUCAGUAGCCGGUCUGAGAGGAUGAACGGACACAGUGGGACUGAGACACGGCCCAGACUCCUACGGGAGGCAGCAGUGGGGAAUCUUCCGCAAUGGACGAAAGUCUGACGGAGCAACGCCGCGUGAGUGAUGACGGCCUUCGGGUUGUAAAGCUCUGUUAAUCGGGACGAAAGGCCUUUUUGCGAAUAGUGAGAAGGAUUGACGGUACCGGAAUAGAAAGCCACGGCUAACUACGUG
RNAcentral lists this ribosomal RNA (510 nucleotides) under uncultured bacterium. RNAcentral describes it as "partial 16S ribosomal RNA". It matches the Rfam family "Bacterial small subunit ribosomal RNA", at positions 28 to 507 of the family's 1533-position model. The record is from RNAcentral.